AUGGAGCAGCAGCUGAAGGAGCCUUUCAGGAUAUGUGGGAUUCACAUUGUCAGACUUCGAAGGUGUCGUUCAUCGUGUGUAAUUUUCCUAAUUAGAUACAUUACCUUAUCUCGAAAUUGA
This 120-nucleotide ribosomal RNA is filed under the name Triticum aestivum (bread wheat). RNAcentral describes it as "partial small subunit ribosomal RNA". The record is from RNAcentral. Lineage: Eukaryota; Viridiplantae; Streptophyta; Magnoliopsida; Poales; Poaceae.